UUUUGAAACCUCAAGUCUCGGUCUCUCCUACCUCUCGUUCUCUCCCCAACUGAGUGUUCUUUUCCUCCUCCCUGCCUUUUUCAUUCCUGCAGCUGUGUGAUUAAUUGGGGGAGAGUGAAAUUAGGGUUUGUCCGUCUUCACUCAAUCAAAGGUAAUCAACUCUCGUUUUGAUUAAUUGUGAUUCUUAAACUUGAUUAUAUGCAUAAGUGUCUGUAUACUUGUGUAUGUAUGUAUUUGUGUGGCUGUUCGUUUCGACUGGAGAUGAUGACAACACUGUUGGUGGAGGGCCGUGGUGGUGAUGUGGUGGUGUAUAUAUAGCUGUGUGUUAUGUUCUUAAAAUGGGUUUUUUUGUGUAAUUUGAGUUGUGGUGUUAGAAUUGAGGCAAUUGUUGUCAAGCUUCGCAGCGGUAAUGUCCUGUUUUGUAGCUUUGUUCUAGGACUAUUAAGUUCAAUUACUAUGCUUAAUUUCCCUGUGAUUAUAUGCUCCUUGAAGUCUAGAUUAAGUGCGAAAAAGAAUUUCAAAGUUUCGUUAAAUGAGCUAAAAGUUAUGAAUUAAUUAGUGACUCUAUGUCUAGAUGACAAAAUUCUGCUAUGUGACAUAUGUGUGCACUGCCCUAUUUUGACAUGUGUAUUUCAAACUGAUAUAAGAUUAAUUGGUGAAUGGAUUGAUUUAUAUUGAUGUCUCUUAAGGUAUAAAAUCAGUACCAAAAGGAUUUAGGUUGAUUGGAUUAAUAAGAUUAAAGUUAUGUUAGAUUUUUAAGAGAUAUGCUACAUGAUUAGAUGCUGAGUAAUAUGUUAUGAUUUUGAUGUGUCUUGUAUGCAAAGUCUGUACAACAUAGAAUAGAAUUAAAAUACUGAACCUCUGAGACUAUAUGCUAUGUGGAAUCAAGGAUCUAUGCCAAGUGGAAUUAAUCAAUUUGGAUUAGUAAAUAUUAAGAUAUGAAUUUUUAUGUGUACGGUGUUAUUAGAGCCCUGCUGUGAUGCUUUCUCUGCACCAUGUUGAACUUCCAAAAUUUAUACUAAAUUAAUUAUGUGUUGGAACUUGUUUGUUUGACCUCUGUAACUUAGCUAUUCGAGUUCUAUAUGAUUUCUAUUCUCUGAGUUCCUUGAUUUGGUGCUUGCUUCUAUUUUAUGGAAAUUGAUUAAGUCAAGUAUGUCAAAACUAUACUACACUGCCCUGUUUUACUAAAUGAUGCAUUGUGUAAAUCUUAUAAAUGAUUAAAUGGUGAAUCUUUUUGUGUUGAUUAGAUAAUUUCAAGUAUGUCAUUUCCUGUUUGUAUUGUCUAGGAAAAUUAUGUAAUCUAAUGUGCUAUAAGUUGGCAAAAUUGAGAGGGCAGUUGCUGAUUUGUAUUAAGAAGUAUGAUUUGCCGUUUCAUUACUUAAUCACUUUUUGCAUACUAUAUAUGGUUAGAAAGAUCUUGGAAUGCUCUAUCUUUUUUUGUUUAAUGUAUCUAUAAAUGAGAUUUCCGAAUGCUAGUAAAAUGCAAAUCUCUUGGUGUCUGUCCAGCAGUUUAUGGGCUUUAUGAAUUGUCGAGUUAGAAUUAUAUGUAUUGUUCUAUGACUUGCAUCUAGACUUAAAGUUGAAUCAUUGUUUGGCUGAGAUAUGUGAGUUAUUGAUGUGUGAUUGUGUUUUAAUUGAUAAUUGGUUCGGUACUUGUUGGUUUAUUGAGUUGGAUUGGGUUGGUUAUUUGUUGAGUUGUAUAGGGAGUUAGAAAACUGUUUUGUUAAUAACUUUUGAUCCGUAAUUCAGAAUCGAGUGAAACGAAAAAGAGGUUAAAGCUUAGAAACUCUAGUUUAAUAUAAUGUAACAAUAUGAUUGAGUUUCCAAUGUGUAUAAAGAUUGUUGAAAAUGCAUAAUGUGACUAUACGUGAUCUAUUUGCUAUAUAGUGAUGAUUAUAUCAAAUACGUAUCCAUUUGAUUUGAUAAACGAUUUGGGAGACAUAGCAUCUUGUCUUGAUUAAUGUUGAAUAAGAAUAUGUAGAUUACAGGAAUUUGAGUUGAUUGAUUGGUUGUUGGUUGAAAUAGGCUGACAGAUGGAUAGUCCUAUAAAUAGACAAGACGCUGUCAGAUUUUCAAUAGGAUUUAUAUGGUUAUUGAGUUGUAGUAUGCUACAUGGAGUAUGAUGUGACUAUAUGAUAAAGUCAAAGCAUGAUUAUAUGUUAAGUGAUACCUGAUAAGUGCAUAGAGAUUAUAUAGGGUGAUAUGUGAUUAUGUGUUAAAUGCUAUCGAUAUAAGUGAUAUGUAUAUGCGAUAGGUUAUGAUACCGAGUUUGAUAAGUAAGAUAAGAAUUAAUAGAUUAUUUAGUAAUUAUGGUAGUAUUUUAUUCUCGUAAAGGAUUUGGACGAGGCGUAUACGACCGAAGACGUUCAGAAAGUCAAACGGUGUUCCAAAGCGAAUGAGGAACGAAUCGAGUAAGUGAAGCAGUGUGGCGAAUAAAGUAUAGCCAGAGAUGGUCUAGAUACUAUGAUAUGCAUAGGUUGUGAGUUGGAAAGAUGAGAUUAAGCUGUGUGUGGAAGCGGAUUUAAGGCAAGUUUUCCUAAAUACUUCCUCACAUAUAUAUAUUGCAUGUUCUGAUUAUUCUGUCCAGACUAUGUUAUUGCUUAUACUGAAACCCUUCUCAAAUAAACUCUUAUUUCUGAGAAUGAAACCCAUGAUUGUUUUCAACUUUCAAGUCUUUGAAAAGCCAAACACCCAAAUACUCUCAAUUUCUAUUACAAGUAUUCUGAUCCAUUCUUUCCAAUCCUCAAGAUUUUAAAAAUAUCAGCUUUACAAAUUAAUUCGAAGUUCAGACCGUCAUUGAAGCAUGGGUUGCUCAGUGAUAGUUAGAACCUAGAAUGAAUUGGGAUCUUCUUGAUUAUUCAACCCGCCAUUGUCAUGCUGGUUUAGCAGGCUAAAUUCAGUUGCUUAGCCGAUAAUGGAGGAUACUGAAUAGUUAGGAAUUUCCUGAACUAUGAUUUAUUAAAAGACAGACUGUGGUUUAUGAAAUGUUGAUCCUCAAAAGUUGGUUUGGAAUAUUUCUGUUAUUGAUAAUGAUUAUGAUUCUGUUCUGUUGAUUGAAUUGUCUAUUGAUUUAAAUUGUUAGAAUUGGAUUAGUUUUUAUAAAAUAUGUGGACCAGAUUCGUGGUCAGACCAGAUUCGUGGUCAAUUAUAGGCCAAUGUGUGCCUUGGAUCCAGUAUAGAGAACAGGGCUGUGUGCCAUGUUCGGGGUUAGUGCGUGACUGAUCAGCAGCCUAACCUUUGGUUUUUAAGUAAAAAUGUGAUGAAUCCAAUUCGACAAUUCUUCUGUAAGUUUGAAAUUCUGAUUUCAAUUGCUGAUAAGAAUUGUGAAGUUUUCAAUUGCAUAUCCUGAACUUGUGAACCCUGAUAAAAUAUUUCAGGACUAUUGUUGCUUAUAUACACUUGUUGAGCAUUGUAGCUCACCCUUGCUAUUCUUUUUUUUUUACCAUUUCAGAAAAGCUUAGAGAUGAAUUGCUUGAUUGAGAUUGCGAGUAUGGCUAAGGCUAAGCGAGGAGUCAGAGUUAUAGAAUAUCCAGAGGACAAGUGGAAUGUCCAGGGAGAUUGUCAAGGUUGGUUCUAGAUAGAAUUGUAUUGAUGAGAUUCAGUUGUAAGUCAUAAUUGGAAUAGAUUGACAGUGAUUCUUCUUAUCGAAGAUGAUCUGAGAUUGUAAGAUAUUGUUUAUUGAUAGUGGUUGAUUCUGAUUUCAAUACUGUAACCUGGAUGCGAUCCUGUUUUUAGGGGGUUAAAGUGUUUUCUUUUAAAUCUUUUAUUAAAGUCUUCAAGUUUUAAAUGCUUUGAUUUUUAUUUUCUCCUCAAAAAUACAGGUUUUCAAAAGUGUUUAAAAAUGGGUUUUGUGUGGUGACGUCAGAAUCCAGACCCCCGGAUUCUCGGGCUGUCACAGUUGGUAUCAGAGCAACA
Molecule: long non-coding RNA, 3915 nt
Filed under: Daucus carota (carrot)
Lineage: Eukaryota; Viridiplantae; Streptophyta; Magnoliopsida; Apiales; Apiaceae
Description: long non-coding RNA (DCAR_LNC002447)
Source: RNAcentral